CGCGCCGCCACCCCUCUCCCCUCUCUCUUUUCUCUGUGAAUGAAACCAAGGGGAAAAGUCCCACAGUACCUUCUCCACCCCACCAUGGCGCUGCCGCUCCAAACUACCCCUCGCCGAGCUGAGACCACCGGCGGAUGCGCCUCAUCAUCCUCUUCAUCCAUGUGCAAGGAAUCGGCCCGGGGCGCCCUGUACUGACGACACGGUCGCGGAUUCUCCUCUUCGGCUGCCACGUUCCGGCGACGAUUCCGGCCGCCGUGGUUCCCCUCCGACGACCCCGACCACACCAACGUCUUCGUGGUCCUCGCCGGCGGCGUCCCUCCGGUGAUCCCCUGGACUCCGCUACGCCCCCAUCACCUUCCCCGCGUGGAGCCGCACCCCCGACGCCCACUCCCCCGCCUCAGUUAGCCCUGAGUCGCCGGAUCGAUCUCCGGUUUGAUCUCCCGCCAUGGUUUUCUGCCCGAGCUCUGCCUCUGGGUGUGUUUUCUUGCAGCGUGAUGUUCUCUAAUCACAAAGCAAUCAGCAGCCUAGUGAUCCGGACUGAGCCUUAGCCCGCUUGCGCAACAGCUCCUUCGUCGCCCAGCGUGCAGCAGGCCACCAUCCGCCGCUCAGCAUUUGCUUCUUUCCGGAUAGGAUCACGAAGUGUUGAUGUGAGAUACGGCGAGUUCUUCGACAAGUGCGUCUGCAGCUUUUCACAGGCGAGCCCUCUCUCUUCACCUAUUUUACUCUCUCCCUCGCACUGCUAUCCUUAUGUUGCGAUUCUUUAUCGAGUCACGUGUCCUAUUCCACUUGUUUACUAUAAUAAUCCUAUAUGUAUCCUUCCUUACCAUAGCCGUUGCUUGAUGUUUGAGCCUUGCGAGUCAUAGGCGUGUUUAGGCUCUGUUGUUUAUCUCGAUCUGUUAUCGGGAUAUGAUGGGUUGUUGGGAGGUUAUCACAUGCUAUAUCAGUUGUUGGAGAUACACAUGCUUUUCUUAAUUGUUAACAACUAAAAUUGUAAGCAGAGGCAUCUGUGAGCCCCUUUGCGAAAGCAUCAGAACUUUGACUUGCUAAUGUCCCCUAGGACCCGAGUUCUUGUUAUCUGUUCCGAGAUUGAGCGCUCUACCCAUGCGUGGGGACGAUUAUUGGGACCCCCCUCACCCAUUACCUUUUCUCAAGUCAGUUGAAAAGGGGGCCACAACCUUGGUUUUAUUUGGCGCAUGCAUGUUUAUAUAUUGUUGCCUUCGGGUGUUUACUUCCUGUUGCCUUCGGGUGUUUAUAUUCUGUACAGUACCCCGCGGAACGUUUAGCGAAGCGUGUGGUUUGCACGCCUAGCCGUUAACGCAAACCCUGAGUCCGCUUCGGAGUACGGCCGGACUUCGUUACGGGUAGCUUAGUCGGGUGGCCCCCCUAGACUUUCUUGUUGAACUGGGAACGGUCUUGUUGUGAGACAUCCACCUGUCGUAAGUGGGUCGAGCAUGCGUAUGGUUACAUUUGGGCAAACCCUGCAGGGUGUACAUCUUAUCGAUAAGCCGUGUCCGCGGUUAUGGACGACUUGGAAUUGUAUAGCUUGAUCAUAGAACAACUUACACCUUAUACUUGUUGUUAAUAAUCUGAUUAUAACUUGCGUAGUAAUAUAGCAUUACUAUAACCGAUACCUAAUAAAAUUUGUCCACCGUUGAGUGCCUUUUACAUUGCCUCUUCGCAAUUGUUGGAGGGGAUAUGUGUAAUCGGCUGGGUUAUGUUUGUGUAGUAUUUUAUUUGUUACCUUGUGCGCUCUCUUAUCUUAUCUGAUUAGACGGAUGUUGUAGCGUGUCUCUAUUGGUUAUAGUUUUGCUGCCGCUAAACCCACCAUAUAGCCCCUGGCGAUAUAUAUAUUAUACUCGCCCGGCGAGCAUAGCCAUUUCUAGUCUCGCUAAGUACGUGCCGGAGUUCGUUCCUUGGUACUUACUCUCGCCUUUUCCCCUUUCUCUUUUGCUUCCUCCCUCUUGUCGGCAACCGAUGGCCCGACUUUGACAGGUACAAGAUGACGGCGUUAGCAAGGUUACCCUUCCGGCUUGGCCUGGGCAGGGUUAUGGACGCCACUGGUUAUCUUCAGGACUCUUAGUCCAAUUUGUAUCUUGUCCGUACUCGGACGUAUUUGAUCUGCUGUAUGAUUUGGAUCUUUGUAUUGUAUAUUUGUAUCUUGACUCGUUGGAGUCAUUGUUGUAAUAUAUGUAUCUUGUGGGCUC
Molecule: long non-coding RNA, 2204 nt
Organism: Lolium perenne
Lineage: Eukaryota; Viridiplantae; Streptophyta; Magnoliopsida; Poales; Poaceae
Source: RefSeq, a predicted model, not a curated record